CCUUUUCUCACUUUUUAACCAAGAAGGCAAGGAAGUCCGCUUUUUUACUGACUACCCAUUUCGCACCAGCAAAGAUGUCCCCUCAGGGUUUCGGGAGCAAUGGGUUUUCUGUGUAGAGUGGACCAACAGCCUUAUCAAGAGCGGAGACCGG
RNAcentral lists this ribosomal RNA (151 nucleotides) under Heterosigma akashiwo. Its description in RNAcentral is "partial Archaeal large subunit ribosomal RNA". The record is from RNAcentral. Lineage: Eukaryota; Raphidophyceae; Chattonellales; Chattonellaceae.